GACGAACUGCCCUAACGUUGUUCGGAAUCACUGGGCAUAAAGGGCGCGUAGGCGGCGAUUCAAGUCAGGGGUGAAAUCCGGCAGCUUAACUGUCGAAGUGCCUUUGAUACUGAGUUGCUCGAGGGAGGUAGGGGUCUGUGGAACUUCUGGUGGAGCGGUGAAAUGCGUUGAUAUCAGAAGGAACGCCGGUGGCGAAAGCGACGGACUGGACCUUUUCUGACGCUGAGGCGCGAAAGCUAGGGGAGCAAACGGG
This 253-nucleotide ribosomal RNA is filed under the name uncultured bacterium. RNAcentral describes it as "partial 16S ribosomal RNA". It matches the Rfam family "Bacterial small subunit ribosomal RNA", at positions 524 to 776 of the family's 1533-position model. RNAcentral also lists the same sequence under 1 other name. The record is from RNAcentral.